This 253-nucleotide ribosomal RNA is filed under the name uncultured bacterium. RNAcentral describes it as "partial 16S ribosomal RNA". It matches the Rfam family "Bacterial small subunit ribosomal RNA", at positions 524 to 776 of the family's 1533-position model. The record is from RNAcentral.
UACGAAGGGGGCUAGCGUUGCUCGGAAUCACUGGGCGUAAAGCGCACGUAGGCGGCUCUUUAAGUCAGGGGUGAAAUCCUGGAGCUCAACUCCAGAACUGCCUUUGAUACUGAGGAUCUCGAGUCCGGAAGAGGUGAGUGGAACUCCGAGUGUAGAGGUGAAAUUCGUAGAUAUUCGGAAGAACACCAGUGGCGAAGGCGGCUCACUGGUCCGGUACUGACGCUGAGGUGCGAAAGCGUGGGGAGCAAACAGG